ACUUUAUGAUAAGGACAUUUACACAGGAGAUCCCUAAAGCACUCCCAUGUCUCGAAAAUUUAUUCCCCAUCUAUCUAUGAGAAACUAGUGAUUUCCUUCCUUAGCU
Small nucleolar RNA from Malania oleifera, 106 nucleotides. The record is from RefSeq and is a predicted model, not a curated record. Lineage: Eukaryota; Viridiplantae; Streptophyta; Magnoliopsida; Santalales; Ximeniaceae.